Long non-coding RNA from Amphiprion ocellaris (clown anemonefish), 1649 nucleotides. RefSeq lists it as uncharacterized. NCBI's taxonomy places the organism in Eukaryota, Metazoa, Chordata, Actinopteri, Pomacentridae. The transcript has 2 exons. The record is from RefSeq and is a predicted model, not a curated record.
UGUGAUUUAAAAUUAAUCUGCUGAUAUUAAAGGGAUUUUUUUUGGCUUUUUCCCAGCAGCAGCUGGUCUCAUCAACAAAGCCAGAGACCCCCAGUGACACUGCCUCUUUCCCCAACCCCCCACCAUAGACACUGACUCAAUGUGUUACAUUAAGCACAGCUUCUAAAUGUGAUUAACAUUGUCCUUUGGCAUAUUUCACGUUGUUUACAAUGCAUACUCUGAUGUUUUGCACAUUCCUGGGCGAAUAAUUCCACAUUUCUGCACAAUAUACAGCUGUCUCACUUAUAUAACAUUGUAAAUAUUUAUAUUACUUUUAUUAUAGCUUUGACUUACUAUUCUUCCUCCUUAAUUGCCUUGUAAGACUUAGCUCACUGUUUGUUUGACUUGCAGCAUAUGUUUUUUUUGUUUGUGCUUUCAUCCUUCUUUUUUAUUCUUGUCAGUGUUUACUAUUAUGCACCACACCAAGUCAAAUUCCUCAUUUCUAAAAACCUGCUUGGCAAUGGAACUGAUUCUGAUUGCUGUGGAUGUAAACCAAGUAUCUUUACAUUAAUUCUGUCUGUGUUUACUUUGUAACUUAAUUGUGCUUCCUCCAUCUCUACUCCUCAUAAAAAACACAUUUCUAAUAAUUUCUUUAAUGAGGCAUUUAUUGCUACUCUAAUUCAUUAAUUCAUCCACCAACCCAUUUAUCCAAUAGCCUAUUUAUCAGAGAGAAAGCCGUGGUCUAAUGAAUAAUCUAGAAAUUGAAAAACACUCAAAAAGUAUUUAUUAGUAGUUAUUUUGGAACAAAUGGGCCAAUUACACUGAUUAAUUACCAGUUCAGGCUGUAUAUCACUCAUUUCCGCUGAGGGACAAUAUAGAGGAUAUGUAGGCAUUUGAUCUGUAGAUGGAGAAUAAAGAGGAUAUUAUAUGCUAUUUGAGUAUAAUUCAGUCCUUAGAUUGUGAGAUAUGGGAACAGACGUUUAGUGUUUUAUGGCUUCCUACAAAGUAUCUGAGUUCAACAAAGACUUAAUUCUGAUAUAACUGUUGGUUUAUUUAUCGGUGCAGCAACAGAACCUUUUCCACAGACAGUUUUCCUGCCCGUUGGCUUGUGUUAACCAGUUUUCUGGCUUCGGCUGAUUCUACCAGCAGACACUGAAAGGACUCUGAUUGUUUGGUCCCUCUCUAUCUCCCUACACAUCCACCAACCACUGGAACACAUCUCCAAAGUUCUGCCGGGCCAGCUCAGCUUCCCCUCAGAAGAAGUGGUGCCACCUGCCAGAUGAAGGAGCCUUUUGAGAGGCAGCUGGCAUCGUGAUUGGACUGUACUUUGGUCUGUUCCAAUCCAGCUUCAGCUCCAGAGACGGCAGGCGGGACGAGUCAACGGAGGCCUGGUGGACGAAGGCAUGAAGCUGAGUACAAUCCAGAAAACAACAGAGGAGGAGUGCAGGGCCAGAACAACCAGAGUAGCAUCGUAUGUCUCUUAGAAAAUAUCAUAGUAUAGCCUUUGGUAUGAAAAAACACAAUCAUAUACAUCGUAGAUUGUACAAAUAACAAGUCAAAGGAAAGAGACAUACAUUUUAGAAUUGUAGUAAUUGUGGGCUGACUGAUGUACUGAUUAUCAGUAUUUUAUUUUGUACUGAUUUAUGGUAAUAAAUACAUUUUAAAGUGGC